Molecule: ribosomal RNA, 620 nt
Filed under: uncultured bacterium
Lineage: Bacteria
Description: bacterial SSU rRNA
Rfam family: Bacterial small subunit ribosomal RNA
Source: RNAcentral
GUUUGAUCCUGGCUCAGGACGAACGCUGGCGGCGCGCCUAACACAUGCAAGUCGAACGAGCGAGAGAGAGCUUGCUUUCUCGAGCGAGUGGCGAACGGGUGAGUAACGCGUGAGGAACCUGCCUCAAAGAGGGGGACAACAGUUGGAAACGACUGCUAAUACCGCAUAAGCCCACGGGUCGGCAUCGACCGGAGGGAAAAGGAGCAAUCCGCUUUGAGAUGGCCUCGCGUCCGAUUAGCUAGUUGGUGAGGUAACGGCCCACCAAGGCAACGAUCGGUAGCCGGACUGAGAGGUUGAACGGCCACAUUGGGACUGAGACACGGCCCAGACUCCUACGGGAGGCAGCAGUGGGGGAUAUUGCGCAAUGGGGGCAACCCUGACGCAGCAACGCCGCGUGAAGGAUGAAGGUUUUCGGAUUAUAAACUUCUUUUAUUAAGGACGAAAAACGACGGUACUUAAUGAAUAAGCUCCGGCUAACUACGUGCCAGCAGCCGCGGUAAUACGUAGGGAGCAAGCGUUGUCCGGAUUUACUGGGUGUAAAGGGUGCGUAGGCGGCUUUGCAAGUCAGAUGUGAAAUCUAUGGGCUCAACCCAUAAACUGCAUUUGAAACUGUAGAGCUG